This 253-nucleotide ribosomal RNA is filed under the name uncultured bacterium. RNAcentral describes it as "partial 16S ribosomal RNA". It matches the Rfam family "Bacterial small subunit ribosomal RNA", at positions 524 to 776 of the family's 1533-position model. The record is from RNAcentral.
UACGUAGGUGGCAAGCGUUGUCCGGAUUUACUGGGCGUAAAGAGCGCGCAGGCGGUCGUUCAAGUCGCGUGUGAAAGCCCCCGGCUCAACUGGGGAGGGUCACGCGAUACUGAUCGACUCGAAGGCAGGAGUGGGUAGUGGAAUUCCCGGUGUAGUGGUGAAAUGCGUAGAUAUCGGGAGGAACACCAGUGGCGAAGGCGACUACCUGGCCUGUUCUUGACGCUGAGGCGCGAAAGCUAGGGGAGCAAACGGG